UAAUGGGGGCGCUUUGUGAAAUCAAGGCUGAGAUGAACCCCUUGAACCUGCACCGGAUAAUGCCGGCGAAGGAAAUUACGU
RNAcentral lists this non-coding RNA (81 nucleotides) under pig gut metagenome. RNAcentral's name for it is "TPP riboswitch (THI element)". It matches the Rfam family "TPP riboswitch aptamer (THI element)", at positions 7 to 92 of the family's 105-position model. From Rfam's summary of the family: Vitamin B(1) in its active form thiamin pyrophosphate (TPP) is an essential coenzyme that is synthesised by coupling of pyrimidine and thiazole moieties in bacteria. The previously detected thiamin-regulatory element, thi box was extended, resulting in a new, highly conserved RNA secondary structure, the THI element, which is widely distributed in eubacteria and also occurs in some archaea. The record is from RNAcentral.